AUGAGGAAGGACAGUACUGGUCGAACACACGCGACAGGGGCAUACAGAACUACGGAACACGAACGGUGGUUUUAUUUUAUUCAGCGCGCGCGCGCGCGAGCGCAUGCGGCGGCUGGUGAUGAUACGCUGGGUGGUGGUGAACUGGUGGUGAUGGUGCUUGCUUGCUUGUCCUCCUCAUCCUCGUGCUCGCCUCUGCCGGCCGGCCUCCUGGGCGCCGGCUCAGUUGCAGCUGCAGCAGGAGCAGCCGCACGCGGUGCCGCACUUGCAGGUGGUGCAGUCGCAGCCGCCGGUCUCCCCGGCCGUCUCGAACCCGCCGGAGUACCCCUUGUGGGAGGCGGUGGGCAUGACCAUGGCGGCGGCGCCGGCGGUGGCCUCCACGUCGGGGAACAUCUUGCACCUACCGCAGCCGUUGCCGCACUUGCAGCCGGCGCCGCACCCGCAGUUGCCGCCGCAGCAAGACAUCCUCCUUUCCUUGGUGGGUGGCGGCGAGGGAAGGAAGCUAAGGACUGA
This 510-nucleotide ribosomal RNA is filed under the name Triticum aestivum (bread wheat). RNAcentral's name for it is "partial small subunit ribosomal RNA". The record is from RNAcentral. Lineage: Eukaryota; Viridiplantae; Streptophyta; Magnoliopsida; Poales; Poaceae.